Molecule: transfer RNA, 72 nt
Filed under: Patescibacteria group bacterium
Lineage: Bacteria
Description: tRNA-Pro
Rfam family: tRNA
About the family: Transfer RNA (tRNA) molecules are approximately 80 nucleotides in length. Their secondary structure includes four short double-helical elements and three loops (D, anti-codon, and T loops). Further hydrogen bonds mediate the characteristic L-shaped molecular structure. tRNAs have two regions of fundamental functional importance: the anti-codon, which is responsible for specific mRNA codon recognition, and the 3' end, to which the tRNAs corresponding amino acid is attached (by aminoacyl-tRNA synthetases). tRNAs cope with the degeneracy of the genetic code in two manners: having more than one tRNA (with a specific anti-codon) for a particular amino acid; and 'wobble' base-pairing, i.e. permitting non-standard base-pairing at the 3rd anti-codon position.
Source: RNAcentral
CGGGGCAUGGCCUAACGGUAAGGCACACGCUUCGGGAGCGUGAGAUUCCGAGUUCAAUUCUCGGUGCCCCGA